RNAcentral lists this ribosomal RNA (386 nucleotides) under uncultured bacterium. RNAcentral's name for it is "bacterial SSU rRNA". It matches the Rfam family "Bacterial small subunit ribosomal RNA", at positions 30 to 417 of the family's 1533-position model. The record is from RNAcentral.
AUUGAACGCUGGCGGCGUGCUUAACACAUGCAAGUCGUGCGGUAACAGGCGUAGCAAUACGUGCUGACGAGCGGCGAACGGGUGCGUAAUACAUGGGAAUCUGCCCUUUAGUGGGGAAUAACCCGGCGAAAGCCGGGCUAAUGCCGCAUAAGAUCUUCGGAUGAAAGCGGGGGAUCGUAAGACCUCGCGCUGAUGGAUGAGCCCAUGUCGGAUUAGCUAGNGGUGAGGUAACGGCUCACCAAGGCGACGAUCCGUAGCUGGUCUGAGAGGACGGCCAGCCACACUGGGACUGAGACACGGCCCAGACUCCUACGGGAGCAGCAGUGGGAAUAUUGGACAAGUGGGGAAACCCUGAUCCAGCGACGCCGCGUGUGUGAAGAAGGCCU